This 253-nucleotide ribosomal RNA is filed under the name uncultured bacterium. RNAcentral describes it as "partial 16S ribosomal RNA". It matches the Rfam family "Bacterial small subunit ribosomal RNA", at positions 524 to 776 of the family's 1533-position model. The record is from RNAcentral.
UACGGAGGAUGCAAGCGUUAUCCGGAAUGAUUGGGCGUAAAGCGUCCGCAGGUGGCAAUGUAAGUCUGCUGUUAAAGAGUCUAGCUCAACUAGAUAAAAGCAGUGGAAACUACAUAGCUAGAGUACGUUCGGGGCAGAGGGAAUUCCUGGUGUAGCGGUGAAAUGCGUAGAGAUCAGGAAGAACACCGGUGGCGAAGGCGCUCUGCUAAGCCGUAACUGACACUGAGGGACGAAAGCUAGGGGAGCGAAUGGG